RNAcentral lists this long non-coding RNA (321 nucleotides) under Lupinus angustifolius (narrow-leaved blue lupine). Its description in RNAcentral is "long non-coding RNA (LANG_LNC001683)". The record is from RNAcentral. Lineage: Eukaryota; Viridiplantae; Streptophyta; Magnoliopsida; Fabales; Fabaceae.
CAACAGUGGUGCAAAAAGCUUGGUGAGAGAGUAAUUAAUACCCUAUGAAUUCUGCAGCUAGAAUGCAUGGAACACAAGAUGGCUUUUUGAGGCCUUGCAGAAACCUACGAUCUGGGUUGGCGACUGGACAAUGUUGGGGAGCAGUUGAUGUCGGUCACUAAUUGGCUAGACAUGGAACUGCACAAGCCGUACUGUAGGCUCCUUUUGUUGAUUAUUUUGGUGGUGUGGAUUGUAUUUUUUCUACUUGCGUUUGUUUCUAGUUUUGUGUGUUGAAGACUUUUGGAAUAUCAUCAAUAUGUUUGGGGUGUAAUUUUCUGGUUG